CAAAAAUUUUUGACAAUCGAAAAUAAUGUGUUCCACAGUUCCAUCACUUGAAUUACAAUGUGGACAAGUUUUAUUCGCAAUAAUGCCGAGUCGAGCAAGGUGUGACGGUGCAGUAUUAUGACCAAAACGUAGUCUAUUUAUGAUAGUAAUAAAGUCUCUAGUAGCAUCUUGCAUACGAUGAUACCAAGGUCUUGCAGGAGUAUAUCGGACAGUGUUGGAGAAUUACCACAUAAUAGACCUUGUGCUGUUAUUAAUGGUCUUCUUGGUGUUCUAUCUAUAUAAGGUCAGAGAUUAAAGAGGUGAAACUGUCUGCACUACUACGCCCUCUACGGAAGCCAUAUUGUAUAUGUGGAAUGAAACACUUGGAUUCAACAUACCAGUCAAGACGGACUUUCACCAUAUUUUCGAAUAUUUUACCAAGACAGGAUGACAAGGAAAUUGGUCUAUAAGAACUAGCAAACUCAGGAGAUUUGUCGGGCUUAAGUAUUGGGACAACACACUGUGUUUUCCAUGACUGUGGAAUAGAUUUAUUACGCCAAAGCAAAUUGAGGAUGCUAAGAAACAACUUUUGGGCAGAUACAUCUAACUUUUUAAUUACUAUGUAAGGAUAAUCAUCUAAGCCAGGAGUUGUAUUUCGUCUAGAGUGCAAGCUUGUUAAAAAUUCAGACCAUGAAAAUGGAUCCAGUAAAAAUUUAGAAUUUGGGUUGUGAUUGUUGAUUUCAAAAAGAACGUUCAGUUGAUCUACCUCAAUUAAGUUGCUAUUAUCUGAUAAUUUAUCCAAGAGUGGAGAUAUAAACUCAUUUGUAUAUGAUUUAUUCUUAGGUCUUAUGCCUUUAAACAUUUUUAAUAAAUUCCAAAUUUUACUUA
This is a long non-coding RNA of Melitaea cinxia (Glanville fritillary), 867 nucleotides long. RefSeq lists it as uncharacterized. The record is from RefSeq and is a predicted model, not a curated record. The transcript is spliced from 3 exons. Lineage: Eukaryota; Metazoa; Arthropoda; Insecta; Lepidoptera; Nymphalidae.